CGAAUUAACAGUCAGUGUUAGUUGAGAAGUCAGAGAGUGCAAACUGUGUUGUCGAGAGAGUGUGGCUAGUGUUGCUAGCGUUGUCGAGAGAAUGUGGUCCGCGUGAGAGAGAGCGUUUGAUUCGUGGUACGUUGUUGUAUUUAGUUCACGUUAAACAACCAUCUUUUCCUGUUUAAUCAGCAUCUGCACAAUCCAUUAUUAUUAAUAGACUAAUUGUAGUAUAAGAUCCUACAAUAAUGCUAUAUAAAGCCAU
This is a long non-coding RNA of Bombus impatiens (common eastern bumble bee), 253 nucleotides long. RefSeq lists it as uncharacterized. The record is from RefSeq and is a predicted model, not a curated record. NCBI's taxonomy places the organism in Eukaryota, Metazoa, Arthropoda, Insecta, Hymenoptera, Apidae. The transcript is spliced from 3 exons.